RNAcentral lists this ribosomal RNA (253 nucleotides) under uncultured bacterium. RNAcentral's name for it is "partial 16S ribosomal RNA". It matches the Rfam family "Bacterial small subunit ribosomal RNA", at positions 524 to 776 of the family's 1533-position model. The record is from RNAcentral.
GACAGAGGGUGCAAACGUUGCUCGGAAUCACUGGGCGUAAAGGGCGUGUAGGCGGGAAUGUAAGUCGGGCGUGAAAUCCCUAGGCUCAACCUAGGAACUGCACUCGAAACUGCGUUUCUUGAGUAUCGGAGAGGAAAGCGGAAUUCCUGGUGUAGAGGUGAAAUUCGUAGAUAUCAGGAGGAACACCAGUGGCGAAGGCGGCUUUCUGGACAGUGACUGACGCUGAGACGCGAAAGCGUGGGGAGCAAACAGG